This 465-nucleotide ribosomal RNA is filed under the name uncultured bacterium. RNAcentral describes it as "partial 16S ribosomal RNA". It matches the Rfam family "Bacterial small subunit ribosomal RNA", at positions 338 to 795 of the family's 1533-position model. The record is from RNAcentral.
CCUACGGGAGGCAGCAGUAGGGAAUCUUCCACAAUGGACGAAAGUCUGAUGGAGCAACGCCGCGUGAGUUGAGCAGGGUUUCGGCUCGUAAAGCUCUGUUGGUAGUGAAGAAAGAUAGAGGUAGUAACUGGCCUUUAUUUGACGGUAAUUACUUAGAAAGUCACGGCUAACUACGUGCCAGCAGCCGCGGUCAGCCGCAGGUUGCAAGCGUUGUCCGGAUUUAUUGGGCGUAAAGAGAGUGCAGGCGGUUCAAUAAGUCUGAUGUGAAAGCCUUCGGCUCAACCGGAGAAUUGCAGCAGAAACUGUUUAACUUGAGUGCAGAAGAGGAGAGUGGAACGCGAUGGGUAGCGGUGGAAUGCGUAGAUAUAUGGAAGAACACCAGUGGCGAAGGCGGCUCUCUGGUCUGCAACUGACGCUGAGGCUCGAAAGCAUGGGUAGCGAACAGGAUUAGAUACCCUUGUAGUC